AAAAAGGCCCUUUUCAGGGCCACAAUAUGAUUCGAUUUUUUAUUUU
Non-coding RNA from Operophtera brumata (winter moth), 46 nucleotides. The record is from Rfam. Lineage: Eukaryota; Metazoa; Arthropoda; Insecta; Lepidoptera; Geometridae.